RNAcentral lists this ribosomal RNA (155 nucleotides) under uncultured Pseudomonas sp. RNAcentral's name for it is "partial 16S ribosomal RNA". It matches the Rfam family "Bacterial small subunit ribosomal RNA", at positions 381 to 526 of the family's 1533-position model. The record is from RNAcentral. Lineage: Bacteria; Pseudomonadati; Pseudomonadota; Gammaproteobacteria; Pseudomonadales; Pseudomonadaceae.
CCCAGAUCCAGCCAUGCCGCGUGGUGUGAAGAAGGUCUUCGGAUUGUAAAGCACUUUAAGUUGGGAGGAAGGGCAGUAAGUUAAUACCUUGCUGUUUUGACGUUACCGACAGAAUAAGCACCGGCUAACUCUGUGCCAGCAGCCGCGGUACAAAU